RNAcentral lists this transfer RNA (63 nucleotides) under Sclomina pallens. Its description in RNAcentral is "tRNA-Pro". The record is from RNAcentral. Lineage: Eukaryota; Metazoa; Arthropoda; Insecta; Hemiptera; Reduviidae.
CAGUGAAUAGUUUAAAAAACAUUAAUUUUGGAGAUUAAAGAUGAGAUCUAUUCUCUUUACUGA